GAUGAACGCUGGCGGCGUGCCUCAUACAUGCAAGUCGAGCGAACAGACGAGGAGCUUGCUCCUCUGACGUUAGCGGCGGACGGGUGAGUAACACGUGGAUAACCUACCUAUAAGACUGGGAUAACUUCGGGAAACCGGAGCUAAUACCGGAUAAUAUAUUGAACCGCAUGGUUCAAUAGUGAAAGACGGUUUUGCUGUCACUUAUAGAUGGAUCCGCGCCGCAUUAGCUAGUUGGUAAGGUAACGGCUUACCAAGGCGACGAUGCGUAGCCGACCUGAGAGGGUGAUCGGCCACACUGGAACUGAGACACGGUCCAGACUCCUACGGGAGGCAGCAGUAGGGAAUCUUCCGCAAUGGGCGAAAGCCUGACGGAGCAACGCCGCGUGAGUGAUGAAGGUCUUCGGAUCGUAAAACUCUGUUAUUAGGGAAGAACAAAUGUGUAAGUAACUAUGCACGUCUUGACGGUACCUAAUCAGAAAGCCACGGCUAACUACGUG
This 497-nucleotide ribosomal RNA is filed under the name uncultured bacterium. RNAcentral's name for it is "partial 16S ribosomal RNA". It matches the Rfam family "Bacterial small subunit ribosomal RNA", at positions 28 to 507 of the family's 1533-position model. The record is from RNAcentral.